GACGAACCGUGCGAUCGUUAUUCGGAAUCACUGGGCUUAAAGCGCGUGUAGGCGGGGCGGUGCGUCGGUCGCUGAAAUCCCCCGGCUCAACCGGGGAAGGGGCGCCGAUACGACCGGCCUGGAGCGACGUAGGGGGAACUGGAACUUCCGGUGGAGCGGUGAAAUGCGUUGAGAUCGGAAGGAACGCCCGUGGCGAAAGCGAGUUCCUGGACGUCGGCUGACGCUGAGACGCGAAAGCGUGGGGAGCGAACCGG
This 254-nucleotide ribosomal RNA is filed under the name uncultured bacterium. RNAcentral's name for it is "partial 16S ribosomal RNA". It matches the Rfam family "Bacterial small subunit ribosomal RNA", at positions 524 to 776 of the family's 1533-position model. The record is from RNAcentral.